This 69-nucleotide transfer RNA is filed under the name Procolobus verus (olive colobus). Its description in RNAcentral is "tRNA-Val". It matches the Rfam family "tRNA". From Rfam's summary of the family: Transfer RNA (tRNA) molecules are approximately 80 nucleotides in length. Their secondary structure includes four short double-helical elements and three loops (D, anti-codon, and T loops). Further hydrogen bonds mediate the characteristic L-shaped molecular structure. tRNAs have two regions of fundamental functional importance: the anti-codon, which is responsible for specific mRNA codon recognition, and the 3' end, to which the tRNAs corresponding amino acid is attached (by aminoacyl-tRNA synthetases). tRNAs cope with the degeneracy of the genetic code in two manners: having more than one tRNA (with a specific anti-codon) for a particular amino acid; and 'wobble' base-pairing, i.e. permitting non-standard base-pairing at the 3rd anti-codon position. The record is from RNAcentral. Lineage: Eukaryota; Metazoa; Chordata; Mammalia; Primates; Cercopithecidae.
CAAGGCAUAGCUCAAUACAAAGCAUCCGGCUUACACCCAGAAGACAUCAACACUAUUUGAUUGCCUUGA